Molecule: ribosomal RNA, 1068 nt
Filed under: uncultured Acidobacteriota bacterium
Lineage: Bacteria; Pseudomonadati; Acidobacteriota
Description: bacterial SSU rRNA
Rfam family: Bacterial small subunit ribosomal RNA
Source: RNAcentral
UCCUACGGGAGGCAGCAGUGGGGAAUUUUGCGCAAUGGGCUAACGCCUGACGCAGCAACGCCGCGUGGAGGAUGAAGGUCUUUGGAUCGUAAACUCCUGUCAGCAGGGAAAAAGGGAGUCGACCUAAUACGUCGGUGACUUGAUUGUACCUGCAGAGGAAGCCCCGGCUAACUCUGUGCCAGCAGCCGCGGUAAUACAGAGGGGGCAAGCGUUAUUCGGAAUUAUUGGGCGUAAAGGGCGCGUAGGCGGCUUUUCAAGUGACGGGUGAAAUCCCUCGGCUUAACCGAGGAACUGCCUGUCAGACUGGAAGGCUUGAGACCGGGAGAGGUGAGUGGAAUUCCCAGUGUAGCGGUGAAAUGCGUAGAUAUUGGGAGGAACACCAGUGGCGAAGGCGGCUCACUGGACCGGAACUGACGCUGAGGCGCGAAAGCGUGGGGAGCAAACAGGAUUAGAUACCCUGGUAGUCCACGCCGUAAACGAUGAGUGCUUGGUGUAGCGGGUAUCGACCCCUGCUGUGCCGAAGUCAACACAUUAAGCACUCCGCCUGGGGAGUACGGUCGCAAGACUGAAACUCAAAGGAAUUGACGGGGGCCCGCACAAGCGGCGGAGCAUGUGGUUUAAUUCGAAGCAACGCGAAGAACCUUACCUGGGUUUGAACUGCACAGGAAAGCCUCAGAGAUGAGGUCCCCUCUUCGGAGGUCUGUGUAGAGGUGCUGCAUGGCUGUCGUCAGCUCGUGUCGUGAGAUGUUGGGUUAAGUCCCGCAACGAGCGCAACCCUUAUUCAUAGUUACUAACGUGUAAUGGCGAGAACUCUAUGGAGACUGCCGGUGAUAAACCGGAGGAAGGUGGGGAUGACGUCAAGUCCUCAUGGCCUUUAUGUCCAGGGCUACACACGUGCUACAAUGGACGGUACAGAGAGUCGCGAGACCGCGAGGUGGAGCCAAUCUCAAAAAGCCGUUCUCAGUUCGGAUUGCACUCUGCAACUCGAGUGCAUGAAGUUGGAAUCGCUAGUAAUCGCGGAUCAGCACGCCGCGGUGAAUACGUUCCCGGGCCUUGUACACACGCCCU